Molecule: ribosomal RNA, 460 nt
Filed under: uncultured bacterium
Lineage: Bacteria
Description: partial 16S ribosomal RNA
Rfam family: Bacterial small subunit ribosomal RNA
Source: RNAcentral
CCUACGGGGGGCAGCAGUGAGGAAUAUUGGUCAAUGGACGAGAGUCUGAACCAGCCAAGUAGCGUGAAGGAUGACUGCCCUAUGGGUUGUAAACUUCUUUUAUAUGGGAAUAAAACGUUCCACGUGUGGGAUUUUGUAUGUACCAUAUGAAUAAGUAUCGGCUAACUCCGUGCCAGCAGCCGCGGUAAUACGGAGGAUCCGAGCGUUAUCCGGAUUUAUUGGGUUUAAAGGGAGCGUAGGUGGAUUGUUAAGUCAGUUGUGAAAGUUUGCGGCUCAACCGUAAAAUUGCAGUUGAAACUGGCAGUCUUGAGUACAGUAGAGGUGGGCGGAAUUCGUGGUGUAGCGGUGAAAUGCUUAGAUAUCACGAAGAACUCCGAUUGCGAAGGCAGUUCACUGGACUGCAACUGACACUGAGGCUCGAAAGUGUGGGUAUCAAACAGGAUUAGAUACCCGAGUAGUC